This 372-nucleotide ribosomal RNA is filed under the name uncultured bacterium. RNAcentral describes it as "bacterial SSU rRNA". It matches the Rfam family "Bacterial small subunit ribosomal RNA", at positions 524 to 898 of the family's 1533-position model. The record is from RNAcentral.
UACGGAGGAUCCGAGCGUUAUCCGGAUUUAUUUGGUUUAAAGGGUGCGUAGGUGGUUUUAUAAGUCAGCGGUGAAAGUUUGCAGCUUAACUGUAAAAAUGCCGUUGAAACUGUAAGACUUGAGUGUAAAUGAGGUAGGCGGAAUGCGUGGUGUAGCGGUGAAAUGCAUAGAUAUCACGCAGAACUCCGAUUGCGAAGGCAGCUUACUAAGCUACAACUGACACUGAAGCACGAAAGCGUGGGGAUCAAACAGGAUUAGAUACCCUGGUAGUCCACGCAGUAAACGAUGAUUACUAGCUGUUUGCGAUACACAGUAAGCGACACAGCGAAAGCGUUAAGUAAUCCACCUGGGGAGUACGCCGGCAACGGUGAA